UAGUAUUCAAUUGUCAGAGGUGAAAUNCUUGGAUUUAUUGAAGACUAACUACUGCGAAAGCAUUUGCCAAGGAUGUUUUCAUUAAUCAAGAACGAAAGUUAGGGGAUCGAAGACGAUCAGAUACCGUCGUAGUCCUAACCAUAAACUAUGCCGACUAGGGAUCGGAUGAUGUUAAUUUUUUAACGACUCA
Molecule: ribosomal RNA, 190 nt
Filed under: uncultured Glomeromycotina
Lineage: Eukaryota; Fungi; Glomeromycota
Description: partial small subunit ribosomal RNA
Rfam family: Eukaryotic small subunit ribosomal RNA
Source: RNAcentral